Molecule: long non-coding RNA, 466 nt
Organism: Sardina pilchardus (European sardine)
Lineage: Eukaryota; Metazoa; Chordata; Actinopteri; Clupeiformes; Clupeidae
Exons: 2
Source: RefSeq, a predicted model, not a curated record
CUCUGCUGCGAGAUGGUGUGUGUGUGCGCGCACACCAGAGCCUCCCACCAGCUGGGGGCCCUGCCUGUCCGGACCACGGCAGGGGCGAUGUUGCCUGCGUCACCGGAUUGCUACAGUUGGUCGGCUGCUGUCUUGUCUUCCUUUAGUUUUGUUUGAUGUUUGAUUUACUAUUUUGUCUGUUACUUUUGGUUUGAUUGUCUUUGUCUGUCAUUCUUUUGUGAGCAGGCGGAGUGUUUUUAAUGGGGGGGGCUAGUCACCUGCUGGGGAACUGGUGUAACGGAGUGUUAACUGCGAGUUGCUUGCUGUGGAGAGCUGCACUACUGUGUGACACUUUCAUAGACUUGCUGUGUUUGGUAUUAGCCUGCCCCCUCAGGCAAGCUCUGCCUGUCUCCGUUAUUUGUUACCCCUCCCUCUGUUCGAAUGUCUGUGUUGUCUCUUUUGUUUAAUAAAUACUGUGUUUAAGGAA